This 284-nucleotide unclassified non-coding RNA is filed under the name Hevea brasiliensis (rubber tree). Lineage: Eukaryota; Viridiplantae; Streptophyta; Magnoliopsida; Malpighiales; Euphorbiaceae. The record is from RNAcentral.
CGCCGCCGCAAUCCCUGCUGCCGAGCCGGUCGAGCUGAUUACCGGCGAUGAGGUAGCGGUGGUUGAUGGGCUUAAGGAGAAUGAACAUGUACAGUUGGACGAUUUGACUAACAAUUUGAAAUACUCAUCGUUUUUGAGCUCCGAUGGGAGCCUCGCAAUUCAUGCUGGUGAAAGAUUAGGUCGCGGUAUAGUUACAGAUGCAAUUACGACCCCGGUGGUUAAUACUUCUGCUUACUUCUUUAAGAAAACUUCUGAGCUUAUUGAUUUCAAGGAGAAACGCCGUG